RNAcentral lists this small nucleolar RNA (98 nucleotides) under Myotis davidii. Its description in RNAcentral is "Small nucleolar RNA SNORA22". It matches the Rfam family "Small nucleolar RNA SNORA22". Rfam says of the family: ACA22 is a member of the H/ACA class of snoRNA that guide the sites of modification of uridines to pseudouridines. The record is from Rfam by way of RNAcentral. Lineage: Eukaryota; Metazoa; Chordata; Mammalia; Chiroptera; Vespertilionidae.
CUGAACAAUAGCCUAGUUCUAGAGCAGUGUCUGUUCUUUUCCUCUGCACUGAAAGGACUACUUCUCCUUUUAAAUGUAUUCAGAAAGUCAGCACAUUA